UCCCCUGUCUCCUCCCGGGGUGAGGAGGAGCUGGAGGAGGGGCCGGCCUCUGUACGGCCCCGGCCAGGCGGCUGUCACCCUCUGAGGAGGCAGCGCCAGGGGAGGGGCGUCCCGGGCGGCCGCCGCCGCCAGGGGGAGGCGCUGGGAGUGGGAGUGGGAACGGGACCUCAGCGGUCGAGCUCGGCCGGGACCCUAGGUGCGGGGGAGGCGGGGUCCCGGGCUCCGGCUGCCUGCCCAGACCUGGCGGGGAUGGGCCCGUGCGGCUCCGGGUGUGGGACGUAUCCUGGGAGCGCCCGGGGUUAUUCCCACUGACUCCCGGGAGGUGGGUGUGCGCCCUUCGCCCCCUGCCUGGUCUGUGGGGAUCCAUCGUUGCUGGAGACUGGAGGUCGGGGGCCAUGGGAGCCCCGGGGCGAACGGUGCGGGCCUGGGUCUUGUGGAAAGGAGGAGCGACCGCCUGAGCGUGCAGCAGGACGUCCUCCUGACCUGAAGUACAAGUCACAAGACCGGAAUACUUCACUUGAAUAAGAACUCAGUGCAAAGAAGUUGGAUAAAUCGGAGAAAACCACACACGUGGCCAUUGAUGCCCUUGGUUGACAGAGUUGACGGGAUUUUCUCUGGCUCUCACCUUGAGGGCAUCAUCAGCAUCCUGAAGUCACUAGCGGGCCUCUGUGCAGAUGUCCUUUCGAGGGGCUUCAGGCUGUGGAAGUGACCAGUGAACACAGGACCUGCCUGGACUCCCAGCCUCACAGCACAGCACCACAGCCUGGACUGCCCCCUGCCUGAUACUUGCUUGGUUUGGAACUUUACUCCAUCAAAACAUCCAAAUAAAAAUAUGUAGACUCCCCACCCUAUCCCAUCUGCUAUAGGGUUCUAAUUCCCCCACAGACAUCCCAUCACAGUGCUUUCCCCCAUGACGGGGGACUCCUGAGCUGGACUCCAUCCCUCCCCUACCAGAAAAGCACAGGUGCUGUGGCAUGAGUUCAACCACCUGAAAUUCCCUGAUCUUCAGAGUAAUAAUUCUAAAAUAGGGCAAUAAUACCCCUGUCAGUGUUCUUGGAAGAACUUCUCAUUACUUGAGGCCCCAGAAAUGCAAACACUCCUCCGGUUUUCCAGCAUGCUGUCAACCCUGGCAUCAGAGCUCUUCCUGCCGUGGGCACUGGUAAUUGACUUACUGGAGAAAGUCAAGCUUUUAAGUCCCAGGAAUAAAGGAUUCCUAUUUC
Long non-coding RNA from Homo sapiens (human), 1220 nucleotides. RefSeq lists it as uncharacterized. The record is from RefSeq and is a predicted model, not a curated record. The transcript has 3 exons. NCBI's taxonomy places the organism in Eukaryota, Metazoa, Chordata, Mammalia, Primates, Hominidae.